AAUGCCGCACAGCUGAAGGUGGGAAGUGGAACCAGUCUCCCGGGAUGUGGCUGGAAAGGUUUGAAUGGAAGAAAAUCUCUUCGAACCCCUGAUGCCCUGCUCUACUAAAGAAGGUGAUGGAAGCUCAUUCAUUUAAGGUUUCUUCAGGAUUCAAAUAUAUCCUCUGGUUGGAAAAUGAGAACUUAUUCUGGUCUAUAUUUGCUGGUGAUCUUCUGCUCAGAUGUCAGAUGUUUGCAAAGCCAAUGUUAGCUUUUGGUGAUUUCCCCUAUGCUGUGGGACUGAGUCUGGUCUCCUGUUGUGUUUUCUUCAGUGAUCUGGGUAAGGUUACUGUGUGAAAAGCCUAAGUACGGUCGGGUGCAAACUUGGACAACAAGGUAUGUUAAAUCUAAUCCUAUUCAGAAUGUUUUUCAUGGGUUAUCUAAAUAAAAAAAACAUUCUGCUUCUGCCAGUUGGAAGCAGCAAAUAAAGGCAGUAAUACUAAACAGUAGAGACCAGGGAAAUUAUAUCACCU
Molecule: long non-coding RNA, 511 nt
Organism: Amblyraja radiata (thorny skate)
Lineage: Eukaryota; Metazoa; Chordata; Chondrichthyes; Rajiformes; Rajidae
Exons: 3
Source: RefSeq, a predicted model, not a curated record